UCCUACGGGGGGCAGCCGUGGGGAAUAUUGGGCAAUGGGCGCAAGCCUGACCCAGCGACGCCGCGUGAGGGAAGACGGUCUUCGGAUUGUAAACCUCUUUCAGCAGGGAAGACAAAAGGACGGUACCUGCAGAAGAAGCCACGGCUAACUACGUGCCAGCAGCCGCGGUGAUACGUAGGUGGCAAGCGUUGUUCGGAAUGACUGGGCGUAAAGGGUGUGUAGGCGGUGUAGCAAGUUAGAAGUGAAAUACCUAGAGCUUAACUCAGGUGCUGCUUCUAAAACUGCUAUACUUGAGUGCAGUAGAG
This 305-nucleotide ribosomal RNA is filed under the name uncultured bacterium. Its description in RNAcentral is "bacterial SSU rRNA". It matches the Rfam family "Bacterial small subunit ribosomal RNA", at positions 337 to 656 of the family's 1533-position model. The record is from RNAcentral.